AUUGAACGCUGGCGGCAGGCCUAACACAUGCAAGUCGAACGGUAACAGGGAUCAGCUUGCUGAUUCGCUGACGAGUGGCGGACGGGUGAGUAAUGUCUGGGAAACUGCCUGAUGGAGGGGGAUAACUACUGGAAACGGUAGCUAAUACCGCAUAACGUCGCAAGACCAAAGAGGGGGACCUUCGGGCCUCUUGCCAUCGGAUGUGCCCAGAUGGGAUUAGCUAGUAGGUGGGGUAACGGCUCACCUAGGCGACGAUCCCUAGCUGGUCUGAGAGGAUGACCAGCCACACUGGAACUGAGACACAGUCCAGACUCCUACGGGAGGCAGCAGUGGGGAAUAUUGCACAAUGGGCGCAAGCCUGAUGCAGCCAUGCCGCGUGUAUGAAGAAGGCCUUCGGGUUGUAAAGUACUUUCAGCGGGGAGGAAGGGAGUAAAGUUAAUACCUUUGCUCAUUGACGUUACCCGCAGAAGAAGCACCGGCUAACUCCGUG
RNAcentral lists this ribosomal RNA (490 nucleotides) under uncultured bacterium. RNAcentral describes it as "partial 16S ribosomal RNA". It matches the Rfam family "Bacterial small subunit ribosomal RNA", at positions 30 to 507 of the family's 1533-position model. The record is from RNAcentral.